AAUGAACGCUGGCGGCGUGCUUAACACAUGCAAGUUGAACGUGAAAGUCCUUCGGAUGAGUAAAGUAGCGAACGGGUGAGUAAUACAUAAGAAUCUACCUCUUAGAGGGGGAGUACCCUAGAGAAAUUUAGGUUAAUACCGCGUAAUCCCAGAGAUGGGCAAAGGUGGCCUCAUGCUACCGCUGAGAGAUGAGCUUGUGGACUAUUAGCUAGUUGGUGGGGUAAAGGCCUACCAAGGCGAAGAUGGUUAACCGGCCUGAGAGGGUGUACGGUCACAAUGGGACUGAGAUACGGCCCAUACUCCUACGGGAGGCAGCAGUGGGGAAUAUUGCACAAUGGGCGCAAGCCUGAUGCAGCGACGCCGCGUGAAGGAUGAAGGCUUUCGAGUCGUAAACUUCUGUUAAGUGGGAAGAAAUGCGCAUGGUUAAUACCCAUGUGAGCUGACGGUACCACUAGAGAAAGCACCGGCUAACUUCGUGCCAGCA
This 484-nucleotide ribosomal RNA is filed under the name uncultured bacterium. RNAcentral describes it as "bacterial SSU rRNA". It matches the Rfam family "Bacterial small subunit ribosomal RNA", at positions 29 to 513 of the family's 1533-position model. The record is from RNAcentral.